GGACUUGGGAGUUGGAAUUAUUUUUUCACGUGCAAAAUAUACUACAACAGUAAUUGUGUGUGGCCAAAGUUACUGGUGAAUGAAAAUCUAACCAGCAUUCGCUAACUGAAAUAUUGCAGAGCACAAAAUAUAAACAUGGGGAGCUAGAAUCAAAAUCAGUUGGAAAAACAAGUGUGGAAUCUGAAAUAAUGCACCCAAAUGUCACACCAAAUAUCCAGAUGGGACUAGAAUCAGUAGAAACUCGGCGUACGGCACGGCGCCGGCGCUCGACGCGCCCGCCGCGCGCAGCCUCGUCCACGCCUCCUCCAUCUGCGUGGCGCACAUCACCUUCCGCGCCUCCGCCACCGUCAGCCCCGCCGCCGUCGAUGGCGGCGGCUCCUCCCUCACCACCGGCAAAUGCUGCAACGGCGCCGAGCCUGGUUGGAUGCGCGGGAAUGCCGGGUGGCAAGGAGGGAAGAGAGCGGUCGACGCAGGGCGCGGCCGACGGACGGCGGGGAGCGGCGACGGACGGCGCAGGGCGGGGUGUGGGAGGAGG
This 535-nucleotide long non-coding RNA is filed under the name Oryza brachyantha (malo sina). Its description in RNAcentral is "long non-coding RNA (OBRA_LNC000461)". The record is from RNAcentral. Lineage: Eukaryota; Viridiplantae; Streptophyta; Magnoliopsida; Poales; Poaceae.